This 572-nucleotide ribosomal RNA is filed under the name Polypedilum sordens. RNAcentral's name for it is "partial 28S ribosomal RNA". Lineage: Eukaryota; Metazoa; Arthropoda; Insecta; Diptera; Chironomidae. The record is from RNAcentral.
CGUAAUUAGAUCGGUGCACGCCAAGUGCACAGUGGGCCACCAAUGGGCCGAUGUGAAGUUUAUUCGGAACAAAUGGCGUGAUCUUUUACGGUUGCGUGUAUUGUCUGGUAAGCGCGUCGUGUCCCGUAGUGACUGUCUGAUGGRUUUUAAAGACUGUAUCAUCAAUGAUUCGUCAUUGACGCUCUCGCGGGCGUAAUAUACGAUACAUGUCCGAUCAACGGCGGUCAAGUUUGGGAUACCUUUUGGACCCGUCUUGAAACACGGACCAAGGAGUCUAUCUAGUAUGCGAGUAAAUGGAUAGUUGAUGAAAUCUAUUUGCGUAAUAAACGUGACUGUUUUUAUGGGACUACGAUUAGAUAACUUUUAUUAGUUACUUUUCUUCCGUCUCGGGGUAUUUUCAUCAACAUAUGCGCAAGCAUAUGGAAAAUAUACCGUGAGCACACUGGAUACGACCCGAAAGAUGGUGAACUAUGCCUGAUCAGGUCGAAGUCAGGGGAAACUCUGAUGGAGGACCGAAGCAGYUCUGACGUGCAAAUCGAGUGUCAAAAUUGCGCAUAGGGGCGAAACACACC